GCCGGCAUAGCACAGCUGGUAGUGCAGCUGACUUGUAAUCAGCAGGUCGGGGGUUCGAAUCCGUCUGCCGGCUCCA
Molecule: transfer RNA, 76 nt
Filed under: Candidatus Allofournierella pullicola
Lineage: Bacteria; Bacillati; Bacillota; Clostridia; Eubacteriales; Oscillospiraceae
Description: Candidatus Fournierella pullicola (gut metagenome) tRNA-Thr
Rfam family: tRNA
About the family: Transfer RNA (tRNA) molecules are approximately 80 nucleotides in length. Their secondary structure includes four short double-helical elements and three loops (D, anti-codon, and T loops).
Source: RNAcentral